CUUACAAAGAGCAUAAAUUUGUGCAAUAAUAGGCUACAUCCAAUGUUAGGGGACCAGAAGGAGCCAGAUUUGCUUCCCUAAGUCAGACUUCCAACAACAUCAAUUUGUGGUUAUGUGCUCGGUUYAUACUAGGGAAACAUUAAGUGGUCUAGACAGAGAUAAAUUAUAGAAAUGAACACAAAUGUAAUUCAGAUUACUCAUUCCCUGUGCUAAAAAUGUUACUAAAAAUAAGAAGCAAGAAGACACUUACCGUCUCCAAUUUUUUUUAUGUUCUCAAUUUUCUUGAGUAAUAUCAGACACUGCUGAUAUGUGGUUUGUGGGGCUACUCCAUGUGAAGAAGCAAAAUAAUAACACAUGCCUUGAUAAGUUUAAGCAGGUCAUGAGGGUGAAGCCAGCACACUAAUGGAAAUGUCAGCUGUACUCUUGGCAGACCUGUCUACAGGAGCAAGUAAGGGGCAAAUUCAGAUGAGCCAUGCAGUCCUGCCUGCCCUGCUAGAAAAGGUGUUAGAAAAGUCACUACCAUGAAGUCCUGACACGAGCAUAACUGGUGCACCUGGGACAAGGAGUCAGAGAACAGAGCUCAGCUGUGAACUUUUUCAUAAUGAGCAAGGGUCCUAAGGUGAACAAUAACAGGAAAUGUUUUAUUCAUGUUGUUAUCACCAAAGUUAUCCUGACUUCAGUGACUCUGUAAAUGUCCCAAAGAAAGACUCAUAUGUGAUUGCUGUCAAGUGAUUGCUUUUUGGAUGUUGGCUGGAAAAAAACCACAAGGCUUCCUAAGUUCAAUGAGACCUUAGACCCUCUUAGACACAGAGUUGAGGUCAGUACAAUUAUAGAACAGGCUGUGAUGAAGUUAGAAUCCAGAUACAUUUGCCUCAGAUCCUGAUAUUCUGAAAUGCACCCUUCUGAAGA
RNAcentral lists this long non-coding RNA (909 nucleotides) under Zosterops lateralis melanops. RNAcentral describes it as "lncRNA (ENSZLMG00000002789.1)". The record is from RNAcentral. Lineage: Eukaryota; Metazoa; Chordata; Aves; Passeriformes; Zosteropidae.